Molecule: long non-coding RNA, 589 nt
Organism: Felis catus (domestic cat)
Lineage: Eukaryota; Metazoa; Chordata; Mammalia; Carnivora; Felidae
Exons: 4
Source: RefSeq, a predicted model, not a curated record
CGCGCAGACCCAGGGGCGCCGCACACUGCACGGGCACCGGCUCGCCUGCGCCUCCGGCUACAACGCCCUCUGCUCGCGCUCGCCCCCGGGAGCGCCUGCCCUUCUCCCGCGCCCAGCUCGCGCCCUAGCCCCUCCGGGAGCCGUGCCCCCUUUUCCCCCUCGGCUUGCCGGGGACGGGCGCUGCUCGCAGCCACCCCCCCGCCCCCCGCCACCAGGAUGGAUGAGAACGGGCGACACAGCCAAAAGAGGGUUGACACAGCUCUCGUCCGCUCACGCCUCGUACUGAGCCUCUCGAGCCUCUUGAUCAAAGGUUUACCGUGUCCUUGGUAGACCGGGACCCAGCGAGCUUACCAACAGAACGGGGUUUCCAGCAAACCCACCGUGACAGCUCCUUCGGGGGCCAGGAACAGGAAGAAGAAGAAAUAAAACCUUGGACAGCUCCAGGGACUGGCCACUGAGAUUGGCGAGAAACCAAAACAACCUGGAAUGUUCCCUUCCUUGUUUGAUGAGAGUGGUUAUCUACUUUACAGGAUAAAAGUUCUCUGUGAGAAAGGUAAAAUACAACAAAUAGAGAAGAAAAAGAAAGAAA